AAGCUUCCUACGUUCUCCUGGAGUUGGUGGUUUAUGAAUGUGGUGCCAUCUGGGGAACUGACAACCCCUGAUGUGUUCACUCUGCUCGUCUUCCAGAAACACAUUGGAAGCUAAUCCCCAAGACUUUGAGAGAAGUCACACAAGAAAGUCUGACUUUGCUGGAAGAUCUUUAACCUGCUUCAAGCCUUGGAUGUCAUCUGAUCACUGCUCCUGAUUUCUUUAUCCUUGGACUGCAGUUAGAGACUCGGCUGCUAUAAAGUGAAUUACUCUUGAAUAAGGGCAUAGUUUCCACUGUGAUAACCUUGUUUCUAUCCAUGACAGCUAGGGAACCUGCAGCCUGAGAAUGCUUUGCUUGGUAGCAGGUGUAAUGUAGUUUUGACUAAAAUUCUAUUGAAGAAAACUCUCUGAGCUUGUCCCCAGACAAUUUAUGUCAGCAGAAGAAAUAAAUAAAGAAAUAAUAACAGAGUAUAUUAUUUGAAUUUGUUGCAGUGGGGUAUAUUGUUUUAUGACAAAAAAACAAGUAACAAUUUUUAGUUGCACACUUCUAGGUCACCUUAAUGGUUGGUUCCGGCACAAAAUUUAAUAUAAGAAAAUGUGAAAGCUCCUCCCCUAACUUCUGCCAAACCUCUCCUGUGUGGUUAACUGCUGCUUUCAUGUCCCCUGUCACUGAGAGGACUUUGGUAGUCAUAUUUCGUUUCUCUGUAAUUCCCAUAUGUACUUGCCUUAAGUUAAAAACAACCAAGCAUACAUUCUCCUUUGCUUUGUAGGAGGUGGUGCCCAGAGUUCAUAAACUGAAUUUAAAUUAUACCAAAAGAGAUCUUCAAACUAUGAAGAAAGCCUAGUAUAUGAAUGUUUGCUCACAAAGACCAAGUAAAGCUACUGUAUUGCAGAGGAACCAACAGUUUAGUAUAAUCCAAUUCAACUUGCAAGCAAUCAUUAAUUAUUUUCUGGGUUUAUUAUAUCAUUAAUGGCUAUAAAUAAGCCAUGUAUUUCAGUUGAAAGGAAUCAAUUCUACCUUUAAAUCAAAUCUGAAGUAGAGGAAGGGGAAAAAGAAGAAGAGGAAGAGAAGGAGGAAGAAGAAGAAAAACAAGAACAUGAAGAAGAAGGAGGGGGAGAGGUGAGGAGAAGAAAAAGAGGUAGUGGAAAAAUAAGGAAGAGAAUAGAAGGGAGAGGGAUAACAAUGACACCAGCUGUUAAAAAAUCAAAAAGUGGAUCUGUUAGUCCUCCCUCCCUCUCAGGCACCCAAUCUCAGGUGUUGCUAGACAGAGGACAGCAAGACCCUUCUAAUUUCCCACCCCAGCAAUACACCCAAGUGCCAUCUCUUCCUGAAAUGCUAGAAGGGAGCUAACAUUCACUGGGCUCCUCUUACAAUCAUUUACAUUCUUUGGUACUUUACAUGGCUUAGAUGUAUAGUUCCAUUUAAUUCUCAAACAAUGGUAUAAGGUAGACAAUGUUAUUUCCAUAUUUAUAGAUUAAGUUCAAGAGGUUGAAAAAUUUGCCCUAGGUAACACAGCUAACAAGAGAGGAACUGGCAUUGAACUCUGCAUGUCUGGAUUGCCAAACCUAGACUUGUUCCAUCAUCUCACAUGCACUUCACCUUCUCUGCUCUGCCGGGAGAUUGAUCUGGUAUCUCCUCUGCAACCUGGUAAGCCUGUCUGUCUGGCACAGCUUAUCCAAAAAGGGUCUCCUAAUACCAAUCUUUGUUCCCAUACAUUGUUGGUGAGUCCCAGCCCAAGCAAGGGCAAUUUGCUUUUGCAGGUUACUUUCCCAAAGUGGCUAUGCAUUUGUGUUUCUUACCGCUGAACAUAAGACAGUCCAUUGUUCAGGCAUAAACCCCAACCCGAGACAACUGGGUACAUUGAUAGUUACCACACAGAUGAAAAAACUUUGAUGGAAAGGGCAAACACUGGGAAACCCGUGGAAAAUUGGUUUCAUGUGGUUUGAUUACACUGGCUCAAAAUAUCCCUUUUUCCUGAUCAGAUCAGAAAUUGAUAUGUGUGUUGCUAUUCUGAGCUAUGAGUCUGAGUAUUUUUUUUUAAUGAUGUAGGGACUCUUCCUUUGAAUAUCCGUAGGCCCUUUAAAUGAGAUGGAAGAAAAUCUUCCAGUAUUGUCACACUUGAUAUAAUAUUUUUCAAGGAGAGACUGCCAGGGUGAGGAUGUACCCUCACAACCCACAGUAAGGAGAAAAGCAAAAGAAAUUGGAGGAGAAAAGACUUAAAUGUGCUGAGGGCUGAUUCUGACUCUGUGCUAGGCACUUGGUUUGCCACUUGGCUAACUUUAUUUUCUUCAUUCCUCUCAACAACCCGGUGAAGUAUAAACAUUCUACCUGCACACCACCCCACUAUCACCACCAUCACCAUCACCACUGCCACCACCAUCACCACCAUUACCAUGAAGACUGAAGGAGCAAUACUCCAUGUAGAGUCCAGUAGCUGUUGCGUGAUGGAGCUGAGAACUGAAAUCAUAUCUCCUUGGGCUGUUUUCACUACACUGCACAAUCUCCUAAUGAGCAGGGCUCUGUUUUUGGCCUGAGGAAUGAAAGAGUGACAAGACAUACUCUGUGUGUGUGUGUCCUGUAUUCAAGAGGCUUAAAAUCUAGUUAGGAGACAAAUUUAAAAGGUCAGUAGCAACCGAUGCUUGCAAAAAUGCUGAGCCCAACAAAGGUACAGAAGUCCAGAGGAGCCACUGAUUACAAAGACCCCAAGUGGUAGAGGCGUUCUCAUGAAGGACAGAGACUUGGGUAGGGCUUAGAAAAGAAAGCCAAGGACUUACAGACAUGGAGAAGAGGCCAACAGCUGUCCCAGAAGGCAGGUCACCUUGAGCUAAGAAUACACAUGCUGUUUUUAGGGAACAAAGUGAGUGGCUGUGGCUGCUAUUAUUUCAGAGGUAAGCAUGGAGCGAGAGUUAAGAAAUGCCCCUUUGGAAGGUAUGUUAGACCCUUGCUCCUCAAAGUGUGGUCCGAGUACCAGUGCUGUCACCAUCACCUGAGUGUUUGUUAGAAAUGCAGAAUCUGGUUGAGUGCAGUGGCUCAAGCCUGUAAUCCCAGCACUUUGGGAGGCCAAGGUGGGAGGACUGCUUGAGCUCAGGAGUUCCAGACCAGCCUGGGCAACACAGUAAGACCACAGUGAGACCUCAUUUCUAUUAAAAAAAAAAAAAAAAGAAAGAAAGAAAUGCAGAAUCUUGAGCCCUGCCCCCAACCCACUGAAUUUGAAUGUGCAUUUUUACAUAGUUUCCCAUAUGAUUUGGAGGCACAAUGAAAGUUUGAGAAGAACUUCUUUAAAGAAGGAGGUUCACUCCUCUCAUUUUUCUUCCUUUAGAUACCAAAAUAAGGCUGAAGAGGACUUGAAGAGGACUAGAAUGUCUUCUUUCUGCCACUCUGUCCUCUUUUUCCCGUCUCUCCCGGCUCUUUGUGUAGAGGCCUAGGUGGCUGUUGGUAAACUCAGGGCCUUUCGUGGUGCUCCCUUUCUGCUGCUUUGCCUAAAACCCAGCAUUCUUUUUCUGAAACUUCUGUGUGUCAUGUUUCUUCCUUUUCACUGGUACUCACUGAUCUGUGAAUGUCACACUCGAGAAUGUGGAGCAAAUUUGUUUUGAACCCAAAUAUCUACAACACAGAACAAUUCAAUUGCCUUCCCAGGAGUCAGCCCUAAAGAAUUGGCCUAUGUGUAAAUGUGCCUGACCUGAGCAUAAAAGACUGUUCCCUGUUACUAGCACCACCCAAAUUCAGCAGUGGGCUUUGGAAGGACAGGGCUGCCCUCAAUGGACCUGCUUGGAUUCAGAACACCUUGAGAAGAGAGAGGCAGUUACAAAGUUGGGGCCCUGCCUUGUGGUUCACUCCAUUUGUUCUAUCUAAAAUCUGAAUUCCCAUUGGUUUUUUAUCAGUUCUUGGAUGCGGGACCACAACUACCAUUUGGAAAGAUUUCAGGCUCAGGAGAGGCAAGGGAAAAAGAAAUGUGUACAAAAACUGAGCGCUCUUCUAGUUUCCAGAUCCGACAAGUGAACAGCUUGGAAGUUGUCAUCCUUAUCUACAAAAGAAAAAAAAAACUGAACAAACUGAAAACUGGAAACUCUUCUUAGAACCUUCAGAGAAUUGAGGUCACAGGCCGAACUGCCUCCCAGACAACAGGGGAGUCAGACGGAUGGAUACAGAGAAUUUCAGUUUACCAGGAGCAGAAGCCAGGAAACUGAGCAGUAAUUGACAAAUUGCUGUAAGCUGUGUGUGGACAAGUUUGAGACUUAAAAACUCCCGGGGUGCCCAAUCACAGGGGCCUCCCCAUACCUUCCUGAGUUGUACCUCCAGGAGUAACAUCAGGUUUCCACUAUGGAACCUGAAGAAAAAUUCUCUCCUCUUUCCCUUUGGGGUUGAGGGGUUGGGAUGGAGAAAUAGCCGUGUUGAAAUAAGCCCGGAGCUCUCUGUUCUCCUUAAGAAGGAUUUCCUUCAAGGGAAAAUACUUUAUAAGAACCCAUCCCACGGGGGUUUUACCAGGGGCCUCACCGACCUGGGAAAGGGAAAUACCCAACUCAGGCUCACUAAAAGACAGAUCUAAUCACAGGGCUGUAGAAUUCUUUCUCUCCCCCCACACAGUACCAACACAGCAACGAUGCUCCGAGUAAAUAACAAGGGAUUACAGCUCACAGAAUUGCAAGCCUCAGUCCCUAUGUCAGGAGUCUCUAGGAAAAUUCAAGCACAACAGGGGAGAUAAAAGCAAGGGCACGGGAAAUUUUAGCCCCUGAUACCACAGCUACAGCAAAUGGUAAAACCACAGCC
Symphalangus syndactylus (siamang) is the source of this 4765-nucleotide RNA transcript. RefSeq lists it as uncharacterized. NCBI's taxonomy places the organism in Eukaryota, Metazoa, Chordata, Mammalia, Primates, Hylobatidae. The record is from RefSeq and is a predicted model, not a curated record.